This 995-nucleotide ribosomal RNA is filed under the name uncultured bacterium. RNAcentral describes it as "bacterial SSU rRNA". It matches the Rfam family "Bacterial small subunit ribosomal RNA", at positions 505 to 1501 of the family's 1533-position model. The record is from RNAcentral.
GUGCCAGCCGCCGCGGUAAUACGGAGGAUGCAAGCGUUAUCCGGAAUGAUUGGGCGUAAAGCGUCCGUAGGUGGUUAUGUAAGUCUGUGGUUAAAGCGUGGGGCUCAACCCCAUAAGGGCCAUGGAAACUACAAGACUAGAGUAAAGUAGGGGUAGAGGGAAUUCCCAGUGUAGCGGUGAAAUGCGUAGAGAUUGGGAAGAACACCGGUGGCGAAAGCGCUCUACUGGACUUAAACUGACACUGAGGGACGAAAGCUAGGGGAGCGAAAGGGAUUAGAUACCCCUGUAGUCCUAGCCGUAAACGAUGGAUACUAGGGGUUGCCCGUAUCGACCCGGGCAGUGCCGUAGCUAACGCGUUAAGUAUCCCGCCUGGGGAGUACGCACGCAAGUGUGAAACUCAAAGGAAUUGACGGGGGCCCGCACAAGCGGUGGAGUAUGUGGUUUAAUUCGAUGCAACGCGAAGAACCUUACCAGGGCUUGACAUGUCUAGAAUUUCUGCGAAAGUAGAAAGUGCCUUCGGGAGCUAGAACACAGGGGGUGCAUGGCUGUCGUCAGCUCGUGUCGUGAGAUGUUGGGUUAAGUCCCGCAACGAGCGCAACCCUCGUUUUUAGUUGCCAUCAUUAAGUUGGGCACUCUAGAAAGACUGCCGGUGACAAACCGGAGGAAGGUGGGGAUGACGUCAAGUCAGCAUGCCCCUUACGCCCUGGGCUACACACGUACUACAAUGCUAUGGACAAAAGCAGCCAACUGGCGACAGUGCGCUAAUCUCAUAAACCAUGGCUCAGUUCAGAUUGCAGGCUGCAACUCCCCUGCAUGAAGGCGGAAUCGCUAGUAAUCGCAGGUCAGCGUACUGCGGUGAAUCCGUUCCCGGGCCUUGUACACACCGCCCGUCACACCAUGGGAGAUGGUCACGCCCGAAGUCGUUACUCUAACCGCAAGGAAGAGGACGCCGAAGGUAGGGCUGAUGACUGGGGUGAAGUCGUAACAAGGUAACC